Molecule: ribosomal RNA, 543 nt
Filed under: Undibacterium sp.
Lineage: Bacteria; Pseudomonadati; Pseudomonadota; Betaproteobacteria; Burkholderiales; Oxalobacteraceae
Description: bacterial SSU rRNA
Rfam family: Bacterial small subunit ribosomal RNA
Source: RNAcentral
GCAAUGCCGCGUGAGUGAAGAAGGCCUUCGGGUUGUAAAGCUCUUUUGUCAGGGAAGAAAAGGUAGCCUCUAAUACAGACUGCUCAUGACGGUACCUGAAGAAUAAGCACCGGCUAACUACGUGCCAGCAGCCGCGGUAAUACGUAGGGUGCAAGCGUUAAUCGGAAUUACUGGGCGUAAAGCGUGCGCAGGCGGUUAUAUAAGUCAGAUGUGAAAUCCCUGGGCUCAACCUAGGAACUGCAUUUGAGACUGUAUGGCUAGAGUGUGUCAGAGGGGGGUAGAAUUCCACGUGUAGCAGUGAAAUGCGUAGAUAUGUGGAGGAAUACCGAUGGCGAAGGCAGCCCCCUGGGAUAACACUGACGCUCAUGCACGAAAGCGUGGGGAGCAAACAGGAUUAAAUACCCUGGUAGUCCACGCCCUAAACGAUGUCUACUAGUUGUUGGGUCUUAAUUGACUUANUAACGCAGCUAACGCGUGAAGUAGACCGCCUGGGGAGUACGGUCGCAAGAUUAAAACUCAAAGGAAUUGACGGGGACCCGCACA